GGACUACUGGGGUUUCUAAUCCUGUUUGCUACCCACGCUUUCGUGCCUCAGCGUCAGUCGUGGUCCAGUAAGCUGUCUACACCACAGGUGUUCCUCCUGAUAUCUACGCAUUUCACCGCUACACCAGGAAUUCCGCUUACCUCUCCCACACUCUAGCACUCCAGUUUCCGCCGCACCCUCCCAGUUGAGCCGGGAGAUUUCACAACAGACUUAGAGCACCGCCUACGCACUCUUUACGCCCAGUAAUUCCGAACAACGCUCGCUGCCUACGUAUUACCGCGGCGGCUGGCAC
RNAcentral lists this ribosomal RNA (292 nucleotides) under uncultured Acidobacteriota bacterium. Its description in RNAcentral is "uncultured Acidobacteria bacterium partial 16S ribosomal RNA". Lineage: Bacteria; Pseudomonadati; Acidobacteriota. The record is from RNAcentral.